Molecule: long non-coding RNA, 6351 nt
Organism: Felis catus (domestic cat)
Lineage: Eukaryota; Metazoa; Chordata; Mammalia; Carnivora; Felidae
Exons: 3
Source: RefSeq, a predicted model, not a curated record
UGGAAACAGCAGAGAGACAGCGGUGGCGGUGCAGUCCCGGAUCCUGCAGGCAAGUGAGGGUGGCUUGAGGGAUCUCGAAGCCAAGAAUCGGGUCCUCUCUGUCCACUCUGAGGCAAGCCCUUCUUGGCCGACCCUGCUAUCCCCGGCUGACCGCGUGGCCCUGUCUCCCUGUGUGGGCCGGUGUUGGAUGUAGCCCUGGGUCCUCAUCCCUGGCCCUCAGCGUCUGACCCGGUACAGAGAUACAGAACACCAGCCCAUGAAACAAAAUGUGACUGUUUGGCCAGACUACCUAUGAUUCCCCAAAUUCUGUGAGAUCAAGAAAAUUAUGUGGUCCAUCCCAGUUCAUUAUAAGAUGGGAAUCAUUUACCUUGGAUCAGGGACAAGUGGGCCAGAAGACACAAGCACAAGCCAGUGUUCCAGGUCGCCACAUCGACUAUCACUCCUAAUACCUCCACUUCUCCCUCAAGUCACAUCUGUUGUCUGAUAAUAGUUACUUAUGACCGGCUAAAGGAGAAAGAAAUAAGUCUAGACUGAUUGAAUAAAAUAGACUGCCUCUACACUACAGUAGCACUCAGGAGUGUCCUUGGCAGAUAAAAGUGAAGGGAAACGCACCUGAGAUUUGGAACUUCCAGCAAAAGCAAAUGUGCCCAAUAGUUACAGCUUCAGGAGGUGUACCCGAUCGUCCUUUGGUGUUUAAAAAGAAGUGACCUGCGGUAAGAAUAUAUGUAGACUCCCAGAAAUUUAUGAAAGACUAAUUGUUCAGGAGGUUGGGCAGAGAAGUAAUGAAACGCUGGACGAAAGCGUUCUGUAGAAGAGACAUACAUCUGACCCAAAGCAGAGGACACCCGCGUGAAGGUGUUUGUGUUUACAGUUAAUAUCCACCAGAGAGCUUCAAGCAUGGAAGGAGCUUGAAACAACCAGUUAGGCAGAAUGGUGUGGCCAGAAGUCAUCCUCUGUCAUCGGUCACCCUCAGUGUUGGAACGAGUGUGAAACGUAUGCAGUAGACAUGAGGGUAGAAAUGGAAGUUGUGCAUGAAUCCAACUGUGUGGGUCCCCACACACCAGGGCUACUGUCAUCGUUGCUGCUGAAUGUGCAGCCUUCCAGAAACAGAGCUGAUGUGGACACCAACCAGCCACUUAGUGUCAGGUUAAUUACAAUGGACCUCUUUUGCCCUGAAAGAGUCAGCAAUUCAUCAUGAUUGGAGUUGAUUGUAUUCAGUCAGUUACUUUAUGGAAUUGCCUUCUCUGUUUUUAGGACCUCAGCAAACAAAAGUAACUGAAGGUUUACAAAGCAAUUGAUCCUCCCAGAUAGGAUCUCAUCCAACUUUGUAGCCUGGAGGUGCAGCUCUGGGCUAGUGGUCAUGGCACCUGUUAGUCUUCUUACAUAUCACAUGACCCAGAAGCUGUAGGCCUACAAGCAAUGGAACAGCCUUGGAAGGUGCUGCUGAAUUGCUAGUUAGGAGGUGAUACCAGCGAAGAUUGGAUGGCUUCCUCCAGGAGAUGGCAAAUGCCCUAAAUCAGCGGAUGGAGGUCUGCAGUGCCCCCAGAUCAGAUGCCAGCUCAGUUUUGCUGCAAGUGCAGAUUCCAUCUGGGCAUCUUGUGGACCUAAAAGAACCCCAUUUCUGUCCCCAUGUGGGUAAGUAUGUAGCUUACAAGAGCCUUCACCCUCAACCAAUACUAUUCCUGGUCCCAGGAAGCAGGUUAUAUAUCCCUGAGUCUGUAGCAUUAGGUCUCCAAUGGGGAUUGGUAGGAGAGCUUAUAGCUGUCUUACAUUCACUCAGUGUUCACAUAAAAAUAUUGAACAACUCACUGUUUAACAGGAGGCCAAGUGUGGCCCUUAGAGGAGAUUUGAAGAAGGUGGUCUGUUUUCAAAGGCAGCCAGGGAUGGUUCGUUCUCUGAAUGGAUUAAGUUCACUUAGGUGUAAAGGAGAUUUGCUGAGUGGAGAAGGAAAGGUGGAAUAUAGAGGAUGUGGUUUACAGAGGGGCUUAGAAAAUUAGAAGAAUACAGAGAAAUGCUUUAAACAGAGUAACAACUAAAAAUAAGAUGCGAUGUAGUCAAAAGCAGAGCCUAUCCAGUUUGGAGAUACCACACUGCUGAAUGAGUGUGAUGUUUUCUUCCCCCAAGUUACAUGUCAAUGGAGCACUCGGUAAAUUUACACCUCCUUCUGGUUUCCACAUUGGGGAUCUUACUUUCUCCUUAAUAACUUUAUACUAUGAUUCUCUAUUAAGAUUUUUAUACACUAUACUAUGAUAAUUAACUAUUAUUUGAAAGCUGAAACACCUUUGAAUAUAAUGAGCUAAUCUUACAUCUCCCUGGUUUUAUACUUUUUACAGAAUUGAUCUAAGCUCUCUUUAGUAGGAACCAAAUUUUGCAUUUAAGAAACUCAUUUUUCCCAAUAAUGUCAUUAUUCAUUAAUUUCAUUAAUCCUUCAUUAAUUUAUUAAUGAAGCCAUUCAUUAAUUUCAUUAAUCAUACUCUUACUUUUAAACCAGUUCACAUUUUAUUAUAGUAUUUUCAUGUCAAGACACUUAUUGAAAUCACUCCCACAAAGAGAUUUCCUCUGAACUGGUCACAUUCAUACGCCCUGGAAAAUGGAGCCUUUUACGUACAGCAGUGGAAGUCUCUCUUUCUCUCUGAGGCAAUCACUUGAAAAUGGUCAUACAAAUAGCAGUUUAAUGGUUGCUUAAAGCACAUCUGUGGAGAUAUCAAAGGAAUUUUUGGUGCAAUAAUUCUUACAUGAAUGAAAAAUAAUGAUAGAAAGACACAGAUCUCUUUGCUUGUUUGCAACAAUACAAUGAGCAAACAAUAGUCAAAGUGGUCAUAAGAUAUGGAUUAAAGCAACAAAUAUUGUGAAAAAUAAUUUCCUCUGAUGUCUGCAUGUUGUAUUUGGAAGUAUGUGGUGGGAGAAAUGAUAAAAUGUGUAGAGGGUGUUCCUAAUAGUUAUGAAUAUGAGUUGCCAGAAAUGAUAGAAGGUAAGAGAAAAAUCUCAAAAUCUGAAUAAAUCAGGAUCCCCUAAAUAGUGGUUCACUAACUGGCUGAUACUGUAAAGGCAAAAAUAAAUAUUAUGCUCAGCUGCAUCCACUUGAUGAUAAUGUCUUUAUCAGAUUAUUUACCUAGUUUUCAGCAAGCAGUUAAAAUCAAGGGUUUCAAAGUCUGAGAGAUGAUCUGGCUACUCACCCUGAACCCCCCACCACAUACACACAUUUACCUUUUACGGAAUCUUGCCAGAGUACACAUCAUCCACAAUUUACCCGUCUGUAAAUUAAGAACAAUAUCCUUAUUUACCCCAGAGCUAAAUGAGAUCAUAUGGAGAAUACAUCAAUGGUUGGUACAGUUCACAUAAUAUUUAUAACAGUUGAUGAAAGGACUAACUGUUUUGUCAAGACAGAAAUAGGAUGCACAAUUUCAAGGAGACAAGAAAAAACACACAAAAGUGAAAAUUACUUGAUGAUAGAAAUGAAAAAAAAAAUCCUACAAGAAGAUGAAAAUCCCAGAGCUAAAGCGUUUUCUUCCAUCUGCUUAUAUAUAAGAUUGACCACAACCAAAAUAAGAAGGUGAUGUCUUAAACUAGUCUGUAAAUUCCCAUGCGGUUACAAAAUGUCACAUGACUUAAAAAAAAAUCUUUGUAACAAUUAGUCCUUUACAGACUUUGUGAGUUCAUAGGAAUAAAAUGCAUCUGAAUUACAUUAAAUACAAUUACAGUGAGAAACAAUAAAGGCAGAAUUUGAUGACUCCAAGCUUUCAAAAUAACAUAAAUGCUAUCAUAAAAGGGAUGGGCGCAUUGUUAGUUACUGAGUAGAAGAAAAAGAAGAGACUCUAAUAGGUGAGCGCCAACAGAGGCAAGAGGUCAGAAAGGAGGUUAGGGUAUCCUUUGCCCCAUCACAAAAGGGACUAAGAUGCUGUGUAAAUGGAGCAGAUACUGAAACUUUUCAUAGUUUACAGUGUUCUGUAUUUCUCCUUUUUUUCAUAUCACCCAAACACCCCACAUCUGCCCAUGCAGGUAGAUAGGUGGCUGAUUGUCUCAUCCUUUUUUAUUUUCAGUAAACCUGAUAACAUUACGGUUAACAGGCAUAAAGUAACUGGUAUCUAGAAUCACAAAAAAACACUUUGCAUGUAUCAUAAAUUACUUGAGGGCCAUAAAUAGAAGAAGAUGGGACUAAGAUAUCUGCAAAAUUCUUUAAAAUUAUAUUAGAUUUACAUUAAUCCCCCCAAAUUCUUUUGUUAAUGAAAAAUUCUAAACACAGAGAAUGGAAAUAGCAUGACAAGGGACAGAAAAGUGAAUGACUAAAGCGGGAUUUUAAAACCUUAGUCUAUCCAUUCUCUCCUAAGAUAAACACCCGCUGCAGCCCCUACUUCACUCCCAGUUCCCAAACUGUAGGGGCAGAACCUUACCUGGAGAGAGCUGAGGACUGAUUUGGCAUGUGCAUAGGCUAGUUGCAUCUUUGUUUCCAGCAAAAUUUCCAGCAGAGGUAGAUAUUAAAGGAAAGGAUGCUAGGCCUUCCUGAGUGCCUGAGCUGAUCCCAGAGCAUCAUUACCUUUCUGAUUCCCCUGGAGUGUCAUUAUCCUUCUGAUCCCAGGAGUGUGUUGGUCUGGCCCAGCAACAUAUGUCCAGAGAGCACUGUGAAUUCUAGAAGGAAGGAGUCUUCCUGGAAUGAAAAUUUGUAACUCUCUGAUCUUGGGUUACUUUCAGAGAAAGUUGAGCAUAAGCUAAUGUGGAGUGAGAUCACUAGAAUACGAGAAAUGGAGAUUUCUUAAGUUAAAGAAAUAAAGUGUCAUUAUGUUUUCCACCCUCUGUUAUCUGGCAGGACCUGUAGAUGAAGUACUAUGGUAGAUAUUCUUGUGCUGAUAAAUAUUAUAGUAAUCUUGCUCUACCUGCCUCUCCUUUUUCCCGCUACUGCUACGUUACUGAUAGACUGUAACUGAUAGACCUUCUCCUCUUCUUCCUGAUCCUCCUACAAUGUUACUCCUGUUGCCUAGUAUUUUAUAGUAAUUUUCAGCUUCCAAUAAACCUUAAGUACUUUUUUUUUCAAGGACCACAUUCUUCAAGCCUCCCUGGUCAUUGAGAUAUUUAAUAAUGUAUCAUUCUCUCUCUGUUUUUUUGGAAAGGUGAUGGCAGUAAAUUUAGUGACAACAUCCCAAACCCCAGAGGACAAGUUUUAUAGGUUUUUGUUAGUAAUGGGUUAUCCCUCUUAGAGACUGGAGGAUAUUUCAAAGGUCGGCUACUUUCUGACUCAGAGUUUUAAUUCACUCACUUGACAUAGAAAAUCAUUAAUUAACUGAUGGCAGUGUGAAAGCGGCAAACUGUUUUUCUCUAGUAAGCUUGCGGGUUACUGCAUUUUAGAUGAGAGUGACCAAAAUGCAGGAUUUCCGCCUAGAUAUUUUUCUUCUGAGUGAGGAUCAACUGUGUGACACUCUGUCUCAUGUGAUACCAUCACUAGUCUGUUUAUUUACUUAUGUACUUAUUUUUUGAUACUAAGUUGUGAGUACUUGUCCAAGUUUAGAACUUUUGGUCCAGCUUCAGUACCCAUACAAAAUCAAUUUGGUCUAUGAAGAGAAGAAAAUCCUUUCAUGUGCUAUCAGUUGUCAUCUUUCAUUGAUUUUUUUCCUUUCUUUUUUUCUUCCCAGUUUCCUCAGGAAUUUAUUCUUAAAGGCUGACAUCUUUCUUUCCUGCUCACCUCAUUAUCCCACCUUCUUUUCUCUACCCUUUGAUUCUUAUUUUGUUCUUUAUCACUCUCUUGUCUUUCAGUUCUUUCUUGUUUUCUUUCUCUCUCCCUUUUUUUUUCUUUUCUCUCUCUUUUUAUGCCUAUCUCAAUUUUCUCAAAAGGUCUCUAUCAUUUGUCUGUUCUUUUUGGAAUAUUUAAUUUUCCCCUCUCCUUUCUUCAAUAUGCACCUAUCACUGUGAAGUUCUCAUCAAAAGAAUACAAUCAUCUUUAGCCCAGAAAUAUUUUAGAGACCUUUCUCAUUUUAUUUUAUAGCCUAGUUCUUGAAAUAACUAGGAAACUAGGAAAAAAUAACUAGGAAAAAUUUUUUUCCUAUUCAGGUCCUAUAUUAAUAUAGUUUAAUCUUCUUUCUUUUUACUUGAAUUUUUCUUGCAAAGGAAUACACAUCUCUCCCUUAUAACCCAGCAGUUCUACAACUUGGUAUUUACUGAAAAGAAACAGAGAAGGCCAUAAUAAGACUUGUAGUAUAAUUUGCAGACUAGCCCUGACAACCCAAUAUCCACUGAAAAGAUAAUGAGUCUUGGGGCACCUGGGUGGCUCAGUCGGUUAAGCGGCCGACUUCGGCUCAGGUCAUGAUCUCGCGGUCCGUGAGUUCAAGCCCCGCGUCAGGCUCUGUGCUGAUGGCUCAGAGC